RNAcentral lists this ribosomal RNA (492 nucleotides) under uncultured bacterium. Its description in RNAcentral is "partial 16S ribosomal RNA". It matches the Rfam family "Bacterial small subunit ribosomal RNA", at positions 29 to 507 of the family's 1533-position model. The record is from RNAcentral.
AGUGAACGCUGGCGGCAGGCCUAACACAUGCAAGUCGAACGGCAGCACAGUAAGAGCUUGCUCUUACGGGUGGCGAGUGGCGGACGGGUGAGGAAUACAUCGGAAUCUACUUUUUCGUGGGGGAUAACGUAGGUAAACUUACGCUAAUACCGCAUACGACCUACGGGUGAAAGCAGGGGAACUUCGGACCUUGCGCGAGUGAAUGAGCCGAUGUCGGAUUAGCUAGUUGGCGGGGUAAAGGCCCACCAAGGCGACGAUCCGUAGCUGGUCUGAGAGGAUGAUCAGCCACACUGGAACUGAGACACGGUCCAGACUCCUACGGGAGGCAGCAGUGGGGAAUAUUGGACAAUGGGCGCAAGCCUGAUCCAGCCAUACCGCGUGGGUGAAGAAGGCCUUCGGGUUGUAAAGCCCUUUUGUUGGGAAAGAAAAGCAGCAGGUUAAUACCCCGCUGUUCUGACGGUACCCAAAGAAUAAGCACCGGCUAACUUCGUG